Molecule: ribosomal RNA, 239 nt
Filed under: uncultured bacterium
Lineage: Bacteria
Description: partial 16S ribosomal RNA
Rfam family: Bacterial small subunit ribosomal RNA
Source: RNAcentral
GAUCAUGGCUCAGGAUAAACGCUGGCGGCGUACAUAAGACAUGCAAGUCGAACGGCAGAAGUUGGAAGUUUUUAACAUUCAAUGGAAACCGUGGCGGACGGGUGAGUAACACGUAAAUAACCUGCCUACAAGAGGGGGAUAACAGAGAGAAAUUUCUGAUAAUACCGCAUAAGCUAGAAAUACCGCAUGGUAUAGCUAGAAAAGAUUUAUCGCUUGUAGAUGGAUUUGCGUCUGAUUAG